CCUACGGGUGGCAGCAGUGAGGAAUAUUGGUCAAUGGGCGUAAGCCUGAACCAGCCAAGUCGCGUGAGGGAUGAAGGUUCUAUGGAUCGUAACCCUCUUUUAUAAGGGAAUAAAGUGUGGGACGUGUCCUAUUUUGUAUGUACCUUAUGAAUAAGGCUCGGCUAACUCCGUGCCAGCAGCCGCGGUAAUACGGAGGAUCCGAGCGUUAUCCGGAUUUAUUGGGUUUAAAGGGUGCGUAGGCGGCCUUUUAAGUCAGCGGUGAACGUCUGUGGCUCAACCAUAGAAUUGCCGUUGAAACUGGGGGGCUUGAGUAUGUUUGAGGCAGGCGGAAGGCGUGGUGUAGCGGUGAAAGGCUUAGAUAUCACGCAGAACCCCGAUUGCGAAGGCAGCCUGCCAAGCCAUGACUGACGCUGAUGCACGAAAGCGUGGGGAUCAAACAGGAUUAGAGACCCCUGUAGUC
RNAcentral lists this ribosomal RNA (460 nucleotides) under uncultured bacterium. RNAcentral describes it as "partial 16S ribosomal RNA". It matches the Rfam family "Bacterial small subunit ribosomal RNA", at positions 338 to 795 of the family's 1533-position model. The record is from RNAcentral.